This is a non-coding RNA of Bacteroides pyogenes JCM 10003, 83 nucleotides long. The record is from Rfam. NCBI's taxonomy places the organism in Bacteria, Pseudomonadati, Bacteroidota, Bacteroidia, Bacteroidales, Bacteroidaceae.
AAAAUUCCAUUAUGAAUAGAUUUUAUGCUAUCAUAAUUGAGGAUUUUUGUGGUUAGCACCCGGUGGGGACAUCGGGUGCUUUU